UGGCCACAGGAUGUACACAUUGACCUAGUUCUGUUUUUUUCUGCCUGAGAUGUCCAUGUCUGUGUCAGAGAGAGAUAACUGGCAAUAAAGCUGAAAGGCUCUGGGAACCAGCUUCCAUGGCAGUUGGCUCCAGGCUGGACAACCCUCACCUCCACCCAUUUAUUGCCAUUUUGUCUCUCCCUGAUGCGCCAGAGGGAGACAUGUGCCUUUGGGAUUAGCUGUUUGGGCGAUGACAAAGUCACCACACCAAGGGAGGGGAAGAGCUGGAAUGUGUCUCCAUUUGGAGACAAACCCAAGAGGCUUCUUGUAGCCAAGAGAGAAGAGCUGGCCAGGAUUGUUCCCUUUAAUCUCUUGGGGAUGAUUCCAGUCCAAAGGGUGAUAGCAUCUCUCCAAGACCCUAUGCUGAAUGUCCUCAUAGACACUGACACAUCUAAAUGAUUAAGGCCCAGAGGCUGCUGACCCCAUGCCACUGGGCUCCCUGGUCAGCUGUGUCAAAGGACAGAGGCCAGAGUGGCAUAGAAGCAGGACUGGCAAGGAAUGCUGCCAGGGGCACAGGACCACGCCGACUUGAAGACUCUUGCUUUCACAGAACAUGCUUCUUCUCUUUUAGAGGGUACUGGGGCCUGGUUCUGAAGAACAGCGUCUACCACACUAAGUUGUUUUAUGCAUUUUCUCAAAUGACAGCAGUUGAUGGCUGAGCCAGGAUAUUAUGGAGUUGUGUUCUUUAAACAAGCUUGUACACACACUCAUACAUGUGCCAGACAUCUAAAUGACUUGAGUGGACACCAUCUACCUGCAAAAGGCAGGUGCUGGAACGUGGAACUAUAUCCCGGCUCACGGCCAAGUCUGGUAAA
This is a long non-coding RNA of Lutra lutra (Eurasian river otter), 854 nucleotides long. RefSeq lists it as uncharacterized. Lineage: Eukaryota; Metazoa; Chordata; Mammalia; Carnivora; Mustelidae. The transcript is spliced from 3 exons. The record is from RefSeq and is a predicted model, not a curated record.